Molecule: ribosomal RNA, 468 nt
Filed under: uncultured bacterium
Lineage: Bacteria
Description: partial 16S ribosomal RNA
Rfam family: Bacterial small subunit ribosomal RNA
Source: RNAcentral
GACGAACGCUGGCGGCGCGCCUAACACAUGCAAGUCGAACGGAGUCAAGAGGAGCUUGCUUUUCUUGACUUAGUGGCGAACGGGUGAGUAACGCGUGAGUAACCUGCCCUGGAGUGGGGGACAACAGUUGGAAACGACUGCUAAUACCGCAUAAGCCCACGGAUCUGCAUGGAUCUGCGGGAAAAGGAUUUAUUCGCUCUAGGAUGGACUCGCGUCAAAUUAGCUAGUUGGUGAGGUAACGGCCCACCAAGGCGACGAUUGGUAGCCGGACUGAGAGGUUGAACGGCCACAUUGGGACUGAGACACGGCCCAGACUCCUACGGGAGGCAGCAGUGGGGGAUAUUGCACAAUGGGGGAAACCCUGAUGCAGCGACGCCGCGUGGAGGAAGAAGGUUUUCGGAUUGUAAACUCCUGUCGUUAGGGACGAUAAUGACGGUACCUAACAAGAAAGCACCGGCUAACUACGUG